This is a long non-coding RNA of Platichthys flesus (European flounder), 255 nucleotides long. RefSeq lists it as uncharacterized. The transcript has 3 exons. Lineage: Eukaryota; Metazoa; Chordata; Actinopteri; Pleuronectiformes; Pleuronectidae. The record is from RefSeq and is a predicted model, not a curated record.
UUCAAAUAACUGUAUGAUUCAACACAGAGCUUGAGGAUCUUGUCUGGACACGGACACAUCUGGAUGCUCCAUGCAGUCCAAAGGACAGUGUGUCUUGGCCCAACGGAGGCGGCCGGCUGCCAGGACUCCUCUCAGCUCGCUCCCCGAAGACCCCGGGCUCCACAGAAACAGGAAAUGAACUGUGGGAUCUGUCCAUCAAGCGUGAACCUGAGUUACACAGGGGAACUCGAGGGGAGUGCUGAGGCCUGAUUGGAU